Molecule: non-coding RNA, 72 nt
Organism: Hydrogenibacillus schlegelii
Lineage: Bacteria; Bacillati; Bacillota; Bacilli; Thermicanales; Thermicanaceae
Source: Rfam
UCCGCAGUAGCUCAACGGUAGAGCAUCCGGCUGUUAACCGGAGGGUUGCAGGUUCGAAUCCUGCCUGCGGAG